AUGAGGACUGAGGGAGCACGCGCGGCCAGAGGGAUCUGCUCGGACUCACGGCGAGGUGGAGGUGGAGGGGCCGGUUCUGAGGCAAGGAGGCAGCUGGCUGGGGAGGCAGGGCUCGGCUCAGUGUCCCCAGCCCAUCCCAGAGUCAGACUGAGCCCUAGGCCCGGAGGCCCCCGCAGGGCCCCCUCAGUACCUCCCACACAACCAAGCCCCUGCCAGGACACCGCCUGCCCCCACCCUGCCUUCAGGGCGGCCGCCCAGGGCCGGCAGGUCCAGGCCAGGCUGCAACUGGGGUCCAGAAGAAAAGAGGCACACCGUCUAAGCCCCCGCUCUCUGGACCGCCUCGCGUCUCCCCGCGGAAGUCAACUCAGAGCCGGGCAGGGACAGGCCCCCCGGUCAGCAGGUCAGCGGUGGAGCGGAGCGACAGAGGUGGGCCCACCGCACCUCCCUCCCCCUGGGGGUUCUAGCAACCCCUCCCAGGGCACAGGCCCCACCAGCCAGGCCUCCCGCCUUCCCACAAGCCAGAGCUCUGGCCCGGCCCGCCUUCCCGCACCGGUGUCUCGCUGUACCCAGCUCAAGGGGGCACAAGCAGGGGGUCACUGGGGCCUGCCCUCACACUCCUUGCCUGGGGCCCUCCUCCCGUGGCACUCCAUCGGGGGACAACACCUCCUCAGGGAACCGAAGCAACAUGUCCCUCAGUGUGCCACCAAACGCACCUCUGACCUCUGCCAGGGAGUCCUUCCACUCGUCCUCUUCCUCCUCCCAGACCUCCCGGGGCCCCCGGCUACAUGGCCCCGGCCGCAGGGCGGGACCCUUCCCUUCGCCUCAGACAAGGCCCCUGACACUUGCCAACUGGGAAGAGGGGCCUGUGAGGUCUCCCUACUCCAGCUGGAUCGAGUGAUGUGGAGACAGGGGUGGAGCAGACGACCCCCAAAGCAAGUGGCUUCAACCUCCAACUCGGCUCCCCAACUGGGAAGAAGUCGUGCAGACAAACGCAAGUCUCUGUGUCACCAUGCCCAGCACAGAGCUUGGCACACAGGGACACGACAAAUGGAAGUUUCCUUCCUCCAGUCCCCAGGGAUCUCAAAACUUUCAGUUUUAGGUCUCCAAAGUAUACUGGAAAGUAGAGCAAAGGGGUAUGGCCGACGGUGA
RNAcentral lists this long non-coding RNA (1149 nucleotides) under Felis catus (domestic cat). RNAcentral's name for it is "lncRNA (ENSFCAG00000047107.1)". The record is from RNAcentral. Lineage: Eukaryota; Metazoa; Chordata; Mammalia; Carnivora; Felidae.